RNAcentral lists this transfer RNA (75 nucleotides) under compost metagenome. Its description in RNAcentral is "tRNA-Gly". The record is from RNAcentral.
CGGGCCGGUGGACCAGCGCCGGGUCAUGUGGCUGCCGAUCACCGAAGCGCCGCCGGUCGGGGCGGUGCGGCCCGC